UACAGAGGUCCCGAGCGUUGUUCGGAUUCACUGGGCGUAAAGGGUGCGUAGGUGGCAUGGUAAGUUUGAUGUGAAAGCUCAGGGCUCAACCCUGAAAUGGCAUUGAAUACUACUGUGCUGGAGGUUUGGAGGGGGGACUGGAAUUCUUGGUGUAGCAGUGAAAUGCGUAGAUAUCAGGAGGAAUACCGGUGGCGAAAGCGACUCUCUGGACGGCAACUGACGCUGAGGCACGAAAGCGUGGGGAGCAAACAGG
Molecule: ribosomal RNA, 253 nt
Filed under: uncultured bacterium
Lineage: Bacteria
Description: partial 16S ribosomal RNA
Rfam family: Bacterial small subunit ribosomal RNA
Source: RNAcentral